GGAGAGAUGGCUGAGUGGUUGAUAGCUCCGGUCUUGAAAACCGGUAUAGUUCUAGGAACUAUCGAGGGUUCGAAUCCCUCUCUC
Molecule: transfer RNA, 84 nt
Filed under: Aegilops markgrafii
Lineage: Eukaryota; Viridiplantae; Streptophyta; Magnoliopsida; Poales; Poaceae
Description: partial tRNA-Ser
Rfam family: tRNA
About the family: Transfer RNA (tRNA) molecules are approximately 80 nucleotides in length. Their secondary structure includes four short double-helical elements and three loops (D, anti-codon, and T loops). Further hydrogen bonds mediate the characteristic L-shaped molecular structure. tRNAs have two regions of fundamental functional importance: the anti-codon, which is responsible for specific mRNA codon recognition, and the 3' end, to which the tRNAs corresponding amino acid is attached (by aminoacyl-tRNA synthetases). tRNAs cope with the degeneracy of the genetic code in two manners: having more than one tRNA (with a specific anti-codon) for a particular amino acid; and 'wobble' base-pairing, i.e. permitting non-standard base-pairing at the 3rd anti-codon position.
Source: RNAcentral